UAAGACGAACCGUGCGAACGUUAUUCGGAAUCACUGGGCUUAAAGCGCGUGUAGGCGGGACGGCACGUCUGUCGCUGAAAUCCCCCGGCUUAACCGGGGAACUGGCGUAGAUACGACCGUCCUGGAGGGGCGUAGGGGGACCUGGAACUUCCGGUGGAGCGGUGAAAUGCGUUGAGAUCGGAAGGAACGCCCGUGGCGAAAGCGAGGUCCUGG
RNAcentral lists this ribosomal RNA (213 nucleotides) under uncultured bacterium. RNAcentral describes it as "partial 16S ribosomal RNA". It matches the Rfam family "Bacterial small subunit ribosomal RNA", at positions 521 to 732 of the family's 1533-position model. The record is from RNAcentral.